RNAcentral lists this unclassified non-coding RNA (329 nucleotides) under soil metagenome. Its description in RNAcentral is "partial contains 5.8S ribosomal RNA, internal transcribed spacer 2, and large subunit ribosomal RNA". The stretch from base 1 to 120 matches the Rfam family "5.8S ribosomal RNA", at positions 35 to 154 of the family's 154-position model. The record is from RNAcentral.
GAUGAAGAACGCAGCGAAAUGCGAUAAGUAAUGUGAAUUGCAGAAUUCAGUGAAUCAUCGAAUCUUUGAACGCACAUUGCGCCCCUUGGUAUUCCGAGGGGCAUGCCUGUUCGAGCGUCAUUAUAACCCCUCAAGCUCAGCUUGGUGUUGGGGCCUGCUGCACUGGCAGCCCUUAAAAUCAGUGGCGGCGCCAUCUGGCUCUAAGCGUAGUAAUUCUUCUCGCUAUGGAGUCCUGGUGGAUGCUUGCCAUCAACCCCCAAUUUUUCUAUGGUUGACCUCGGAUCAGGUAGGGAUACCCGCUGAACUUAAGCGUAUCAAUAAGCGGAGGA